CAGCAGCCGCGGGAAUACGUAGGUGGCAAGCGUUGUCCGGAAUUAUUGGGCGUAAAGCGCGCGCAGGUGGUUUAAUAAGUCUGAUGUGAAAGCCCACGGCUCAACCGUGGAGGGUCAUUGGAAACUGCUAAACUUGAGUGCAGGAGAGAAAAGUGGAAUUCCUAGUGUAGCGGUGAAAUGCGUAGAGAUUAGGAGGAACACCAGUGGCGAAGGCGGCUUUUUGGCCUGUAACUGACACUGAGGCGCGAAAGCGUGGGGAGCAAACAGGAUUAGAUACCCCCGUAGUCCCUGUCUCUUAUAC
RNAcentral lists this ribosomal RNA (301 nucleotides) under uncultured bacterium. RNAcentral's name for it is "partial 16S ribosomal RNA". It matches the Rfam family "Bacterial small subunit ribosomal RNA", at positions 509 to 807 of the family's 1533-position model. The record is from RNAcentral.